RNAcentral lists this long non-coding RNA (1164 nucleotides) under Scophthalmus maximus (turbot). Its description in RNAcentral is "lncRNA (ENSSMAG00000032926.1)". The record is from RNAcentral. Lineage: Eukaryota; Metazoa; Chordata; Actinopteri; Pleuronectiformes; Scophthalmidae.
UGUAAUCCCCUGUUAUGACUUCAAAUGGACUGAAUGGCUGGUCGGAUAACUAAGGAGACCACUUGAGUAAAUCAAAAGGUUUGACUUGUUUGAGAAAGAGAAUCAGUAUGCGCUGAUCCAUAGCAAAAUUUUCACAUGAUUGUUGUCAGUUUAUCAAGAUUAUUGCUAAGCUCUUAGAGACUGUUAGGCCCCACAAAUAAACAUGCUUUGGCUCCACUUGUUUUGAUUUCUAAAGUAUUUUAGUUGUAGUCGGUGCACUGGAAUAAAUCUCCAGCAACACCAAAGAGUCAAUUAGGAAUGACAGAUAGAUAGAUAGAUAGAUGGAUGGAAAAAUAGAUAGAUAGACUUUUAUAUAAUUUUAUAUAAUUUUAUAUAAUGAUAUGUUUUAUAGUUAUAUAUUUUAUAGUUAUUAAAAUAUAUAAAAGAAAACUCUAGUAGCCCUAACAUAAUUUGAUGUGCUGAGGAGGGAGUUCACCCCUUGGGUGGUAAGAAGUUGAAUGUGUCAAAAAGUCUGCACAUCUCAGCAUCUCAUCUCUCUCUCUCUCUCUCUCUCUCUCUCUCUCUCUCUACUCUCUCUCUCUCUUCUUCUGGACCCUGUUUACCUGCUGCUUGCCAAGUCUGAUGUCAGCCCACUGCGCCCAGGGUCCCUGGGCGAGUGUACAGUUUCUGUUUUGACACCCGUUCCUAAUUACACAUGUAAAUGAUUGAUCACCUGGACUUGGCGGGGGAGAGUAGAGAUGGAAGCCCUUGUUACGUGACGGCCCGGCGAUUAUGUCCAAGUCCAGGACCGUCUCUCUGCUGCUGGGUACAGUGGAAACGGAUACCUGCGAGGGCCCGAGAGCUGGGAGAUUAAGUUCUGAGCAUCCGCCAUUUGGACCAAAGACUUCCCCUAUUAGCGGUCCUCGAGGAGCAGUUGCGCAGCCUGGCACACAUUGUGCAGCUGCACUUCCCAUUGAUCUACUGGGCUGCCUGGAUGGCUGGCUGGAGGGAGAUAGAUUGGAGGGGAAACGGCUUAAUUGUCCUCACUCUCACUGCUGGAAUGCAAAUAGCCCACCACCACUGGCCUCCACUGUGAGGAAGCCCCACGUUGAGAAGGUAGCCAUCAAUCUUGGCGAGGAGCUGAUGGGAGGCUGCUCCCUCGCAGAUCGGGCUUGCUCAGACUGA